AGUGAACGCUGGCGGCGUGCUUAACACAUGCAAGUCGAACGAGAACGGAUUAUAGCUUGCUAUAAUUGUCAGCUAAGUGGCGCACGGGUGAGUAAUGUAUAGGUAAUAUGCCUCUUACUAAGGGAUAACAAAUGGAAACGUUUGCUAAUACCUUAUACUCCUUUUAAACAGAAGUUUAAAAGGGAAAGAUUUAUUGGUAAGAGAUUAGCCUGUAUUGUAUCAGUUAGUUGGUGGGGUAAUGGCUUACCAAGACUAUGACACAUAACUGGUUUGAAAGGAUGAUCAGUCACACUGGAACUGAGACACGGUCCAGACUCCUACGGGAGGCAGCAGUGGGGAAUACUGCACAAUGGACGAAAGUCUGAUGCAGCAACGCCGCGUGAGGAUGACACAUUUCGGUGCGUAAACUCCUUUUAUAUGAGAAGAUAAUGACGGUAUUAUAUGAAUAAGCACCGGCUAACUCCGUGCCAGCCGCCGCUGUAA
This 483-nucleotide ribosomal RNA is filed under the name uncultured bacterium. Its description in RNAcentral is "partial 16S ribosomal RNA". It matches the Rfam family "Bacterial small subunit ribosomal RNA", at positions 29 to 523 of the family's 1533-position model. The record is from RNAcentral.